AAGGGAGACCUAAUUCCGGUAGGAGACGAAAAAAAAGUAGUCCCAACCAAGAAUCAAUCCCAAAAGGUCGGAACGAGGUAUGAGGCUUUCAAACUAGGUUCUGGGUUCAUAAAAGACCUGAAUCAGGAACAAGGGCUAUUAGCUCAGGUGGUUAGAGCGCACCCCUGAUAAGGGUGAGGUCCCUGGUUCGAGUCCAGGAUGGCCCACCUGCACAGGUGGCAAAAACAAGAGGAGCUCCGAGUCAGCACCUUAUCUUAUAUACAUAUAUAAGAGAGAAUGCUGGCUCUGAGUACAGAGUCCAGAGGAACCUUGAAAACUGCAUAGAGCUAGGUGAAAAAGCCAAAAAAGAAGACCGCAA
This 358-nucleotide transfer RNA is filed under the name uncultured Microcystis sp. RNAcentral describes it as "partial 16S-23S ribosomal RNA intergenic spacer". The stretch from base 133 to 206 matches the Rfam family "tRNA". Lineage: Bacteria; Bacillati; Cyanobacteriota; Cyanophyceae; Chroococcales; Microcystaceae. The record is from RNAcentral.